ACACCGGCGGGUUCUUCGACGUCAAGGACUCCGGCGGCGAAUGCGGCGUGCCGGCCGAGACCAUGUACUACUACCCCGCCGAAAACAGGGCAAACUUCUGGUAAGCGGCGUACGUAGAAACCACAUCAUUUCAUGCAAAAUUCAUACGUAUAUGAAAGUUAAUACGAAGCGACGAAGAAAUAAUGUCUGCCAUGCAUGGACGACGUACGGAUGUCAAGGUACAAGGUGGACUACGGGAUGUUCCGGUUCUGCGUGGGGGACUCGGAGCACGACUGGAGGGAGGGCACCCCGCAGUACAAGUUCAUCGAGGAGUGCCUGUCGACGGUGGACCGGAAGCACCAGCCGUGGCUCAUCUUCACGGCGCACCGGGUGCUGGGCUACUCCUCCAACUCGUGGUACGCCGACCAGGGCUCCUUCGAGGAGCCCGAGGGACGGGAGAGCCUGCAGAAGCUGUGGCAGCGCUACCGCGUCGACAUCGCCUACUUCGGCCACGUCCACAACUACGAGCGCACAUGCCCGCUCUACCAGAGCCAGUGCGUCAACGCCGACAAGAC
RNAcentral lists this long non-coding RNA (554 nucleotides) under Hordeum vulgare. Its description in RNAcentral is "long non-coding RNA (HVUL_LNC011177)". The record is from RNAcentral. Lineage: Eukaryota; Viridiplantae; Streptophyta; Magnoliopsida; Poales; Poaceae.